This 517-nucleotide ribosomal RNA is filed under the name Bacillus sp. BspTNAU1. Its description in RNAcentral is "partial 16S ribosomal RNA". It matches the Rfam family "Bacterial small subunit ribosomal RNA", at positions 369 to 881 of the family's 1533-position model. Lineage: Bacteria; Bacillati; Bacillota; Bacilli; Caryophanales; Bacillaceae. The record is from RNAcentral.
CAUUGAGCGUCUGACGCAGCACGCCGCGUGAGUGAUGAAGGCUUUCGGAUCGUAAAACUCUGUUGUUAGGGAAGAACAAGUGCCAUUUUAAUUGGUCGGCCCCUGGCCGGUACCUAACCAAAAAGCCCCGGUUAAUUACUGGCCACCACCCCCGUUAUACCUUAGGUGGCAAGGUUUUUCCGGAUUUAUGGGGCGUAAAGGCGCCCAAGGGGGUUUCUUAAUUCGAAGUGGAAACCCCCGGCUCCACCGGGGGAGGGUCUUUGAAACUGGGGAACUUGGAUGGCAAAAAAGAAAAGGGAAUUUCCAGUGGUACGGUGAAAUGGCUAAAAAUUUGGAAGAACCCCCAUGGGCAAAGGCGACUUUUGGGCCUGUACCGAACCUUAAGGGCCAAAACCUGGGGAAGCAAACAGAAUAAAAACCCCGGGUAUCCCACCCCUAAAACAAUAAUGGCUAAUGGUUAGGGGGUUUCCCCCCUUUAUUGUUGAACUUAACGCAUUAACACCUCCCCCGGGGGAGA